RNAcentral lists this small nuclear RNA (102 nucleotides) under Chinchilla lanigera (long-tailed chinchilla). Lineage: Eukaryota; Metazoa; Chordata; Mammalia; Rodentia; Chinchillidae. The record is from RNAcentral.
UGCUUGCUUGUACAGCAAUAUACCAAAAUUAAAAUGAUACAGAGAUCAGCACGACCCCUGUGCAAACAUGACACACAAAUUCAGGAAAUGUUCCCUAUUUUU